GGCCAGGUGGUGUAGUGGUUAACACCUUGCUAUGCUGUAUAUGUGAAAGACCCUGGGUUCAAUUCCCAGUCUGGCCA
Hysterangium stoloniferum is the source of this 77-nucleotide non-coding RNA. The record is from the annotation of a GenBank genome assembly. Lineage: Eukaryota; Fungi; Basidiomycota; Agaricomycetes; Hysterangiales; Hysterangiaceae.